GCACAAUGAUGAGUUCCUCCUAGGUUGUGCUGAGAGCCUUCAAUUGCUAUUGAUUUUCCACAGAGUACAAGUGGAGUAUUUAACCAGAUAACCAAGCUGAUGUGCAGCACUCCACUUCCAAAUUUGGCUUUGAAGCAGGAGCAGCAGAUGUAUCAAUUACAUACAAACAUAAACAUAACUGUAUGAAGCAAUCAUGUUUCUAACAACAGUAAGCAGUGCACAGAAGACCAAAAUAAAUAAAAUUCAUAGAACAAGAGGUAGUGACAAAUCCAUAAACAUAUAGAUGACUCACAGAAACCAUAAAUGGUUGUGGAGAGGAGCUGGAAUUUGCAUUUCAUCCCGAGGGGGCGAGCUCUCAUGCGAGUCUCUUGUGGAAGGGCAUUUCACAUAUAUGUGGAAGCCACUGAGGAAGCACGGCCCUUCUGCUUUCACCAGUUUCAGUCUAGUUCUCGAC
Molecule: long non-coding RNA, 454 nt
Organism: Gopherus evgoodei (Goodes thornscrub tortoise)
Lineage: Eukaryota; Metazoa; Chordata; Testudines; Testudinidae
Exons: 4
Source: RefSeq, a predicted model, not a curated record